GAAUAGGAAACAGAUGAUGAACGAGGUGCUAAAGCUGCGAUCCCUGGAGACUAGCCCCCAGGAAACCACUGUGGGUGUGUGCAGUACCAGAGGGUCAGGAGUAAGUAAGUGUUCCGCGUAGAAACAUCCCAGCCAUGCAUCAAGGGAGACAGAAUCUUCCAGAACUCAAACCUCAAGAGCACUGAGGACCUCAGCGGUAACAACAAACCUCCUCCUUCUCAUCACGGACGAACUGAGCCCUUGCAUUCGUCUCCCUGGAUCGCUUACAACAAUCACAGAGACAGGCUAUCGACUCCAUGCUACAGAUAGGGCCUGCAGUCAGACCCUUCUCACACGAGCUCCCAGUGUCAGAGCUUCAAGUGGAAGGGAUGGCAAGGCCAUUUUCAUCUGAGGCUGUACCUCUCUGAAGGACCUACGGAGGAGGAACCGCAUCAACUCUGGAGUGCAGACUCUUGGGGCCUUUGGAAGUCUUACGAAUUUCUCUGACAACUAUUUGCAAAGGCCAUAAUCACAGGCAUCUGAAACUGGAUCUCCAGCUACAGGGUAGAACACCACAUAAUUCCAAAAGGCUCCUGGCCCAACCAUAUUUGGUUUCUUGUCUCUCUUGCUUUCUUUAAAAUUGCGCUGAGCCUUCAAUUUGCAG
Molecule: long non-coding RNA, 643 nt
Organism: Bos taurus (domestic cattle)
Lineage: Eukaryota; Metazoa; Chordata; Mammalia; Artiodactyla; Bovidae
Source: Ensembl